Molecule: ribosomal RNA, 371 nt
Filed under: uncultured bacterium
Lineage: Bacteria
Description: bacterial SSU rRNA
Rfam family: Bacterial small subunit ribosomal RNA
Source: RNAcentral
GGGCCCGCACAAGCGGUGGAGUAUGUGGUUUAAUUCGAUGCAACGCGAAGAACCUUACCAGGGUUUGACAUCCUGCGAAUCUCUUGGAAACAGGAGAGUGCCUUCGGGAACGCAGUGACAGGUGGUGCAUGGCUGUCGUCAGCUCGUGUCGUGAGAUGUUGGGUUAAGUCCCGCAACGAGCGCAACCCACGUCUUUAGUUGCCAGCAUUUAGUUGGGCACUCUAGAGAGACCGCCGGUGAUAAACCGGAGAAGGUGUGGAUGACGUCAAGUCAUCAUGCCCCUUACGAGUAGGGCUACACACGUGCUACAAUGGCGCAUACAGAGGGCGGCCAACUUGCGAGAGUGAGCGAAUCCCCAAAAAGUGCGUCGU